UCUGUUAUUAACUAAUGACACUAAAUACUAUGAUGAUUUGUAUGAUUAUAUAUUUAGUCUAUAUGAUAACGUUUUAUUCAUUUUAUUACUUUUAUCAAAUGAAAAUAAUACAUACCAUGAUAAUACAUACCAUGAUAACAUGUACAAAAAAGACAACAAUAAUAGUGUAAAUGAAAAUGUGAUUGCUAAGGGGUUAGUAGUAGAAUUAAAAAAAGACCUGAACAUAAAAAAUUCAUUAUAUAAUAAGGUAAUAGUUCUUAAUAAAUAUUUUUAUGUUAAUAAAUUUUUUUUAAGAUUAACUAUAAGUGAUGAUAUAUAUGAUUUACAUGAACUGCUUAAGAAAUAUUCAUCUGAAAAUAUAAAUAAAGAGAAUGAUUACCUGAUUUAUAAUAUUAUUGAAAACAAAACAGAUUUGGACAUAUUAAUAAGUAUAUUAAAUAGUAAAAAAAAAAUAAUAGGUUUUGCCUGGUUAAAAAAAAACAUAGAUCUUAAUAUUUUAGUUAACUUAUACAAUUUAAAGGAUUACAACUAUCUUAUGAAAAAAGAAUUUUUUUCAGAAAUAUCCAAGCAACUGGUAUUGUUCCUUUUUUUUUUUAUUUUUUUUUCUAUAUACAAAAAAAAAUAAAAAAUAAAAAAUAAAAAAUAAAAAAUAAAAAAAUUGAACAUAUAAGCAUAUAAACAUGCAAAUAUAGUCGUAUGUAAAAAAAAAAGAAAAAAAAAAAAAAAGAAAAAGUGUACAUCUUAAAACAUGUUACAUGUUCUACUAUAUUUUCCCCUUUUAGAAAUCAUACAAAAGCAGUGACAAGAAUUUAAAAAAAAAAAAAAAGAAAUACAUGUUUGUUGAAUUUAAGCAAUAUAUUUUAAAAAACAUAAAAUUAGAAUCUCUAGAUUGUUUAGAAAAAAAAUACGAAAUUAAAGAAGAACUUAUUUAUGAAUUUCUGAGUGAACAUAUAAUUCACGAUGUGGACAUAUAUGCCGAUUAUUUUAUAAAACAAAAUAUAGAUAUAAAUAAGUUAAUAAAAAACAUUUAUAGUAAGCUAGAAUAUGAUUACGAACACUUUAAACGCGAUUCUGGAAGUAACAUACAUCUUGCUAGCUUAAACAAGUUAAUAAGUUUGUGUUCACAUAUAAGUUUUACAGAUGUAGCCAAAGUUUGCGAAAAGUUUCACAAACAUUUCGAAAAAAUCGAAAUGCUAUAUUUUAAUUUUAAUAAUGAUAAAACAUAUAAAAAAAUAUACGAAAACAUCAAAAAGCUAAGACACACAAAAAAAAAUGAUGAAUCAUUUAAAACAGGUAGUAAAAGAAUAAAUACCAUGAAAAUGAACCGAGUUAAUAGCAUUAAAAAAUCACAAAAAGAUUUUAAAGAUGUAAUAACUUUGUCUUACUACGAUAUUUUUUUGUUACUAGAAAACAUUUACCCUGAUACUUUUAAAAAGGUAAGUGCAAAAAAAAAAUGUAGCUAAUAAGAACGAUUAAAACGGUAAAAAAAGAAAAAUGGUAAAAAAUAUGACCCUUC
RNAcentral lists this long non-coding RNA (1516 nucleotides) under Piliocolobus tephrosceles (Ugandan red Colobus). RNAcentral's name for it is "lncRNA (ENSPTEG00000008595.1)". Lineage: Eukaryota; Metazoa; Chordata; Mammalia; Primates; Cercopithecidae. The record is from RNAcentral.